CGCCUCUUGAAUAAAUAUAAGAGGUCCAGCCUGCCCAGUGACUCUGUUCAACGGCCGCGGUAUCCUAACCGUGCGAAGGUAGCGUAAUCACUUGUUCUUUAAAUGAGGACUAGUAUGAAUGGCACCACGAAGGUUAUACUGUCUCCUCUCUCUAAUCAGUGAAACUAAUCUCCCCGUGAAGAAGCGGGAAUAAACAUAUAAGACGAGAAGACCCUAUGGAGCUUUAAACUAUGUAACACUUGCACCACCACAGCACAAAUUUCAGAAAAAUCUCUCCAACGCAUGCAAGCUUAUUACCAGUUUUAGGUUGGGGUGACCGCGGAGCAAAAAACAACCUCCACAUUGAAAGGAACUUACUCCUUAGCCAAGAGCCACACCUCCACGCACCAUUAUAAUGACAUUAAUUGACCCAAUAUUUUGAUCAACGAACCAAGUUACCCUAGGGAUAACAGCGCAAUCCAUUUCAAGAGCUCCUAUCGACAAAUGGGUUUACGACCUCGAUGUUGGAUCAGGGUAUCCCGGUGGUGCAGCCGCUACCAAAGGUUCGUUUGUUCAACGAUUAAAACCCU
Molecule: ribosomal RNA, 569 nt
Filed under: Espadarana prosoblepon (emerald glass frog)
Lineage: Eukaryota; Metazoa; Chordata; Amphibia; Anura; Centrolenidae
Description: partial 16S ribosomal RNA
Rfam family: Bacterial large subunit ribosomal RNA
Source: RNAcentral